GGGACUGAUGAUUUCAAAUUUGUCGCCCCAAUCUUAGUGUCAUACUAUAAAAUCCGAUUGACAUGCUAUUUGGCUAAUUGACAUACUAUUAAAUCUCACUC
Molecule: small nucleolar RNA, 101 nt
Filed under: Triticum turgidum subsp. durum (durum wheat)
Lineage: Eukaryota; Viridiplantae; Streptophyta; Magnoliopsida; Poales; Poaceae
Also listed under: 1 other name
Description: Triticum durum (durum wheat) Small nucleolar RNA U31b
Rfam family: Small nucleolar RNA U31b
Source: Rfam by way of RNAcentral